This 434-nucleotide ribosomal RNA is filed under the name uncultured bacterium. Its description in RNAcentral is "partial 16S ribosomal RNA". It matches the Rfam family "Bacterial small subunit ribosomal RNA", at positions 29 to 507 of the family's 1533-position model. The record is from RNAcentral.
AGCGAACGCUGGCGGCAGGCCUAACACAUGCUAGUCGAACGAACCUUUCGGGGUUAGUGGCGGACGGGUGAGUAACACGUGGGAACGUGCCUUUAGGUUCGGAAUAACUCAGGGAAACUUGUGCUAAUACCGAAUGUGCCCUUCGGGGGAAAGAUUUAUCGCCUUUAGAGCGGCCCGCGUCUGAUUAGCUAGUUGGUUGAGGUAAUGGCUCACCAAGGCGACGAUCAGUAGCUGGUCUGAGAGGAUGAUCAGCCACAUUGGGACUGAGACACGGCCCAAACUCCUACGGGAGGCAGCAGUGGGGAAUCUUGCGCAAUGGGCGAAAGCCUGACGCAGCCAUGACGCGUGAAUGGUGAAGGUCUUAGGAUUGUAAAAUUCUUUCACCGGGGACGAUAAUGACGGUACCCGGAGAAGAAGCCCCGGCUAACUUCGUG